Molecule: transfer RNA, 69 nt
Filed under: Chrysotus sp.
Lineage: Eukaryota; Metazoa; Arthropoda; Insecta; Diptera; Dolichopodidae
Description: tRNA-Trp
Source: RNAcentral
AAGGCUUUAAGUUAAUUUAAACUAAUAACCUUCAAAGCUAUAAAUAUAAGAAAUAUCUUUUAAGUCUUA